This 411-nucleotide ribosomal RNA is filed under the name uncultured bacterium. RNAcentral describes it as "bacterial SSU rRNA". It matches the Rfam family "Bacterial small subunit ribosomal RNA", at positions 9 to 422 of the family's 1533-position model. The record is from RNAcentral.
GAGUUUGAUCGUGGCUCAGAUUGAACGCUGGCGGCAGGCCUAACACAUGCAAGUCGAGCGGUAGAGAGAAGCUUGCUUCUCUUGAGAGCGGCGGACGGGUGAGUAAUGCCUAGGAAUCUGCCUGGUAGUGGGGGAUAACGCUCGGGAACGGACGCUAAUACCGCAUACGUCCUACGGGAGAAAGCAGGGGACCUUCGGGCCUUGCGCUAUCAGAUGAGCCUAGGUCGGAUUAGCUAGUUGGUGAGGUAAUGGCUCACCAAGGCGACGAUCCGUAACUGGUCUGAGAGGAUGAUCAGUCACACUGGAACUGAGACACGGUCCAGACUCCUACGGGAGGCAGCAGUGGGGAAUAUUGGACAAUGGGCGAAAGCCUGAUCCAGCCAUGCCGCGUGUGUGAAGAAGGUCUUCGGA